UACGAAGGGUGCGAGCGUUAAUCGGAAUUACUGGGCGUAAAGAGCACGUAGGCGGUCUGGUAAGCGGAAUGUGAAAUCCCCGGGCUUAACCUGGGAACUGCAUCCCGAACUGCCAGGCUAGAGUACAGUAGAGGUGAGCGGAAUUUCCUGUGUAGCGGUGAAAUGCGUAGAUAUAGGAAGGAACAUCAGUUGCGAAGGCGGCUCACUGGAUGAAUACUGACGCUGAGGUGCGAAAGCGUGGGUAG
Molecule: ribosomal RNA, 245 nt
Filed under: uncultured bacterium
Lineage: Bacteria
Description: partial 16S ribosomal RNA
Rfam family: Bacterial small subunit ribosomal RNA
Source: RNAcentral